Molecule: ribosomal RNA, 465 nt
Filed under: Vreelandella stevensii
Lineage: Bacteria; Pseudomonadati; Pseudomonadota; Gammaproteobacteria; Oceanospirillales; Halomonadaceae
Description: partial 16S ribosomal RNA
Rfam family: Bacterial small subunit ribosomal RNA
Source: RNAcentral
CCUACGAGCGGCUGCAGUGGGGAAUAUUGGACAAUGGGGGGAACCCUGAUCCAGCCAUGCCGCGUGUGUGAAGAAGGCCCUCGGGUUGUAAAGCACUUUCAGUGAGGAAGAACGCCUGGUGGUUAAUACCCAUCAGGAAAGACAUCACUCACAGAAGAAGCACCGGCUAACUCCGUGCCAGCAGCCGCGGUAAUACGGAGGGUGCGAGCGUUAAUCGGAAUUACUGGGCGUAAAGCGCGCGUAGGUGGCUUGAUAAGCCGGUUGUGAAAGCCCCGGGCUCAACCUGGGAACGGCAUCCGGAACUGUCAAGCUAGAGUGCAGGAGAGGAAGGUAGAAUUCCCGGUGUAGCGGUGAAAUGCGUAGAGAUCGGGAGGAAUACCAGUGGCGAAGGCGGCCUUCUGGACUGACACUGACACUGAGGUGCGAAAGCGUGGGUAGCAAACAGGAUUAGAUACCCCAGUAGUC